This 161-nucleotide ribosomal RNA is filed under the name uncultured bacterium. RNAcentral's name for it is "partial 16S ribosomal RNA". The record is from RNAcentral.
GCACAGAGUUAGCCGGUCCUUCUUAUGUAGGUUAAGUCAACCUCCUGCUUUGUUAGAGCAAGAGCUUUCGUCCCUACCGAAAGGGCUUUACAACCCGCAGGCCUUCUUCACCCACGCGGCGUCGCUGGAUCAGGGUUUCCCCCAUUGUCCAAUAUUCCCCA